RNAcentral lists this ribosomal RNA (594 nucleotides) under uncultured eukaryote. RNAcentral's name for it is "eukaryotic LSU rRNA". It matches the Rfam family "Eukaryotic large subunit ribosomal RNA", at positions 1092 to 1667 of the family's 3401-position model. The record is from RNAcentral.
GAUCGGACCCCGGACGUGAAGUCGACGAUGGUCGGUGGGCUGGUUUUGGUAAGCAGAACGGGCGAUUCGGGAUGAACCGGAAGCGGGGAGAAAGGGCCCGAGAUUGCGUCGACGCGGAUCCCGAAAAGGGCGUCGAUCCGUCGCGACAGCGGGACGGUGGUCAUGGAAGUCGAAAUCCGCUAAGAAGCGUGUAAAAACGUACCCGCCCAACGGAUCGGCCCCGAAAAUUGAUGGCGCUCGAACGCAACCCUCGAACCCCGCCGACGGAGGCUAGGGGAGGCCCCGUCGAGUAGGCGGACGCGCGGGUCGCUUCGACGCUCCCGCGCGAGCGGGGGCGGAGCGGCCCGUGGUGCAGAUCUUGGUGGUAGUAGCGAUCACCCAGGCGAGAACCCUGAGGGCCGAAGUGGAGAAGGGUUUCUCGAGAACGGCACUCGCUCGAGAGUUAGUCGAUCCUAAGCUGCCGGCGGCAGCCACGAAACGGUCGAUCGGGCGCGAGCCCGGCAGCCACGACCGGGCAGCGAAAGGGAAUUGGGAACCUCCGUUCCCAAACCCGGAACCGGAACGAGGGCGGCGACGCGAACGAAACGGCCGCGG